Chiloscyllium plagiosum (whitespotted bambooshark) is the source of this 373-nucleotide non-coding RNA. NCBI's taxonomy places the organism in Eukaryota, Metazoa, Chordata, Chondrichthyes, Orectolobiformes, Hemiscylliidae. The record is from RefSeq and is a predicted model, not a curated record.
AGCGCGGGACGGGCGCGAGCGUGACCGUUGGAAUCGUGCGACGGGUCGGGACGCUCGUGGCGCGGGUAAUGCCUGUUUGCAGGAACGUAAAGGCGGCUCGAAAACGAUGCCACCUAUCAACCUGACUGAACCAACCUACUGUAUGGUGUAAAGUGAUUCAUCAGAAUCUUCAGCUGACAUUAGUCCAGCGACCGUUUGAAAUUGCUUGUUUCCUUUAAACCAUGCAGGAACAGCUUCCCCCUAUGUAUCCAGCUAGCUCAUGAUUUUGAAGGCCUCAUUGAAUCUCCUGUCAACCUUCUGUCAAGGAGAAGAGUUCCAGCUUCUUCAAUCUAUCCUCGUAAUGAAGUUUCUCAUUCCUCGAACCAUUCUUGUA